GACGAACGCUGGCGGCGUGCUUAACACAUGCAAGUCGAACGGAAAGGCCCUGCUUUUGUGGGGUGCUCGAGUGGCGAACGGGUGAGUAACACGUGAGUAACCUGCCCUUGACUUUGGGAUAACUUCAGGAAACUGGGGCUAAUACCGGAUAGGAGCUCCUGCUGCAUGGUGGGGGUUGGAAAGUUUCGGCGGUUGGGGAUGGACUCGCGGCUUAUCAGCUUGUUGGUGGGGUAGUGGCUUACCUAGGCUUUGACGGGUAGCCGGCCUGCGAGGGUGACCGGCCACAUUGGGACUGAGAUACGGCCCAGACGCCUACGGGAGGCAGCAGUGGGGAAUAUUGCACAAUGGGCGGAAGCCUGAUGCAGCAACGCCGCGUGCGGGAUGACGGCCUUCGGGGUGUAAACCGCUUUCGCCUGUGACGAAGCGUGAGUGACGGUAAUGGGUAAAGAAGCACCGGCUAACUACGUG
Molecule: ribosomal RNA, 468 nt
Filed under: uncultured bacterium
Lineage: Bacteria
Description: partial 16S ribosomal RNA
Rfam family: Bacterial small subunit ribosomal RNA
Source: RNAcentral